Molecule: ribosomal RNA, 437 nt
Filed under: uncultured anaerobic ammonium-oxidizing bacterium
Lineage: Bacteria
Description: bacterial SSU rRNA
Rfam family: Bacterial small subunit ribosomal RNA
Source: RNAcentral
GUGACGAAGCGACGCCGCGUGUGGGAAGAAGGCCUUCGGGUUGUAAACCACUGUCGGGAGUUAGGAAAUGUAAGGGUGUUAAUAGUAUCCUUACUUGACUAAGGCUCCGGAGGAAGCCACGGCUAACUCUGUGCCAGCAGCCGCGGUAAUACAGAGGCGGCAAGCGUUGUUCGGAAUUAUUGGGCGUAAAGAGCACGUAGGCGGCCUUGUAAGUCAGUUGUGAAAGCCUUCUGCUUAACGGAAGAACAGCAGCUGAUACUGCAAGGCUAGAGUGCGGAAGGGGAGAGUGGAACUUCUGGUGGAGCGGUGAAAUGCGUAGAUAUCAGAAGGAACACCGGCGGCGGAGGCGACUCUCUGGUCCGUAACUGACGCUGAGUGUGCGAAAGCUAGGGGAGCAAACGGGAUUAGAUACCCCGGUAGUCCUAGCCGUAAACGAU